GGCGAGCUCCUCUUCACGAGGACUACAUUGUUACUUCCCGCACCAACCCCGUUGUGAUGUGCAAACAAGCCCUCGUUUCGCCGUGCUGUCGAGAAUCGUGGAUCGCCGGUGUGAAGGGCCCGAUGUUGCAGUACUGGCCGUGCUUGUAGUCGAGUCCGUACUAGAAAUAAUAGUGGGCGACGUAGGCAACUUCAUGCUACAUUUGAGGAUAUCAGAGGGUGGCACGAUGCUUGAUUAUUUCACUCCCAGCGGC
RNAcentral lists this long non-coding RNA (253 nucleotides) under Hordeum vulgare. RNAcentral describes it as "long non-coding RNA (HVUL_LNC012035)". Lineage: Eukaryota; Viridiplantae; Streptophyta; Magnoliopsida; Poales; Poaceae. The record is from RNAcentral.